GUCAGGAUGGCCGAGCGGUCUAAGGCGCUGCGUUCAGGUCGCAGUCCACUGCGUUUAGGGUUCGAUCACUUCUGACA
Trichonephila clavipes is the source of this 77-nucleotide non-coding RNA. The record is from the annotation of a GenBank genome assembly. Lineage: Eukaryota; Metazoa; Arthropoda; Arachnida; Araneae; Nephilidae.